Molecule: ribosomal RNA, 784 nt
Filed under: Centris hoffmanseggiae
Lineage: Eukaryota; Metazoa; Arthropoda; Insecta; Hymenoptera; Apidae
Description: SSU rRNA
Rfam family: Eukaryotic small subunit ribosomal RNA
Source: RNAcentral
CGGGGAGGUAGUGACGAAAAAUAACGAUACGGGACUCAUCCGAGGCCCCGUAAUCGGAAUGAGUACACUUUAAAUCCUUUAACGAGGACCAAUUGGAGGGCAAGUCUGGUGCCAGCAGCCGCGGUAAUUCCAGCUCCAAUAGCGUAUAUUAAAGUUGUUGCGGUUAAAAAGCUCGUAGUUGAAUCUGUGUGUCACAGUGUCGGUUCACCGCUCGCGGUGUUUAACUGGCAUUAUGUGGUACGUCCUACCGGUGGGCUUAGCUCCUCGCGGGCGGUCCAACUAAUAUCCCAUCGCGGUGCUCUUCACUGAGUGUCGAGGUGGGCCGGUACGUUUACUUUGAACAAAUUAGAGUGCUCAAAGCAGGCUACCUUCGCCUGAAUACUGUGUGCAUGGAAUAAUGGAAUAGGACCUCGGUUCUAUUUUGUUGGUUUUCGGAACCCCGAGGUAAUGAUUAAUAGGGACAGAUGGGGGCAUUCGUAUUGCGACGUUAGAGGUGAAAUUCUUGGAUCGUCGCAAGACGGACAGAAGCGAAAGCAUUUGCCAAAAAUGUUUUCAUUAAUCAAGAACGAAAGUUAGAGGUUCGAAGGCGAUCAGAUACCGCCCUAGUUCUAACCAUAAACGAUGCCAGCUAGCGAUCCGCCGAAGUUCCUCCGAUGACUCGGCGGGCAGCUUCCGGGAAACCAAAGCUUUUGGGUUCCGGGGGAAGUAUGGUUGCAAAGCUGAAACUUAAAGGAAUUGACGGAAGGGCACCACCAGGAGUGGAGCCUGCGGCUUAAUUUGACUC